CAGCAGCCCCGGUAAUUCCAGCUCUGUAAGCGUAUACCAAAGUUGUUGCAGUUAAAACGCUCGUAGUCGGAUUUUGGCGUCUGACUUGGGUCGUCCUCGCGGAUGCUCUCAGGUUGGGCGCCUUUGUGGAUGGGAGUCUGGUGGUGCUUAAUUGGAUCGCCAGUCUGCCGCCACCGUUUACUGUGAAAAAAUUAGAGUGUUCAAAGCAGGCGAUUGCCCUGAAUACAUUAGCAUGGAAUAAUAGAAUAGGACCCGGUCCUAUUUUGUUGGUUUGUUUGAAUCGGGUAAUGAUUAAGAGGGACGGUUGGGGGCAUUCGUAUUCCGACGUCAGAGGUGAAAUUCUUGGAUUGUCGGAAGACGAACAGCUGCGAAAGCGUCUGCCAAGGACGUUUUCAUUGAUCAAGAACGAAAGUAAGGGGAUCGAAGACGAUCAGAUACCGUCGUAGUCUUUACUAUAAACGAUGAGGACUGGAGAUCGGAUAAGACUGAUAUAUGGCUUAUCCGGCAUCCUUCGAGAAAUCAAAGUGUUUGCUUUCUGGGGGGAGUAUGGUCGCAAGGCUGAAACUUAAAGGAAUUGACGGAAGGGCAUCACCGGGUGUGGAGCCUGCGGCUUAAUUUGACCAAACACGG
RNAcentral lists this ribosomal RNA (630 nucleotides) under Gracilaria corticata. Its description in RNAcentral is "SSU rRNA". It matches the Rfam family "Eukaryotic small subunit ribosomal RNA", at positions 568 to 1208 of the family's 1831-position model. The record is from RNAcentral. Lineage: Eukaryota; Rhodophyta; Florideophyceae; Gracilariales; Gracilariaceae.